AAAGCGCGCGUAGGCGGUAUUUUAAGUCAGGUGUUAAAUCCUUCAGCUCAACUGAAGGCUGCCUCUGAAACUGAAAUACUAGAGUUUAGUAGAGGAAAGCGGAACUCACGGUGUAGCGGUGAAAUGCGUAGAUAUCGUGAGGAACACCAGUUGCGAAGGCGGCUUUCUGGACUAAUACUGACGCUAAGGUGCGAAAGCGUGGGGAGCGAACGGGAUUAGAUACCCCGGUAGUCCACGCCGUAAACGUUGUUCACUAGGUGUUGGAGGUAUCGACCCCUUCAGUGCCAAAGAUAAUUCGUUAAGUGAACCGCCUGGGAAGUACGACCGCAAGGUUAAAACUCAAAGAAAUUGACGGGGGCCCGCACAAGCAGUGGAGCAUGUGGUUUAAUUCGACGAUACGCGAAGAACCUUACCAGGGUUUGACAUCCGCAGAAUCUUCUAGAGACAGAAGAGUGCCCGCAAGGGAGCUGCGUGACAGGUGGUGCAUGGCUGUCGUCAGCUCGUGUCGUGAGAUGUUGGGUUAAGUCCCGCAACGAGCGCAACCCUCAUCUUGUGUUGCCAGCACGUAAUGGUGGGAACUCACAAGAAACUGCCUGUAAAAAGCAGGAGGAAGGUGAGGACGACGUCAAGUCAUCAUGCCCCUUACACCCUGGGCUACACACAUGCUACAAUGGCCGGUACAAAGAGCUGCUAAAUCGCGAGAUCAAGCUAAUCUCAUAAAACCGGUCCCAGUUCGGAUUGUAGUCUGUAACUCGACUACAUGAAGUUGGAAUUGCUAGUAAACGCAGAUCAGCUACGCUGCGUUGAAUACGUUCCCGGGCCUUGUACACACCGCCCGUCACACCAUGAGAGUUAGAAAUACCCAAA
This 867-nucleotide ribosomal RNA is filed under the name marine metagenome. Its description in RNAcentral is "bacterial SSU rRNA". It matches the Rfam family "Bacterial small subunit ribosomal RNA", at positions 562 to 1425 of the family's 1533-position model. The record is from RNAcentral.